This is a long non-coding RNA of Bactrocera neohumeralis, 1222 nucleotides long. RefSeq lists it as uncharacterized. The transcript has 3 exons. The record is from RefSeq and is a predicted model, not a curated record. NCBI's taxonomy places the organism in Eukaryota, Metazoa, Arthropoda, Insecta, Diptera, Tephritidae.
UAGUAGCAAAACAAAGCACGAAGUGUAUGAGACUGCGACGCUCGAGCUCGAGUCAAGUUUAAAACGUAUGCGGUUGCAGCUGAAAGCGAACGAAAAAAACCAAUAAGAUAAAAAACAAUAAAUAGCAACAAAUACUAAAAUAAAAUACAUAGUAAAUAUUUGUAUUGUAGCAAAAAAAAAAAGAAAUUACAACAACAAAAAGUGUUCGGUCUAAGGCGAAAAAGUGAGUGCGUGCGCGUAGUAGCGUUUUGAUCUGGCCAAACGUAGCGCCCGAUCAAAUCACUGUAGCGUAGCGUAACGUAACCAACGACCAAUCGAUCGAUCGAUACGAGACGGACACGAAAGGCCGGACACACGGAGCCUUGGCUAGCUGCGAAGAAAGUACGGCCGAAUAGUUGACGACGCGCGACAAGCGAGUUUAAAAUUAUGAACGCGGAAGAUUUCGGUGGAAAUUGAAAGAAAUUGAAGAAAAGUUGAUAUAUAUGAUUUUAACCUCCACGAUAUCCCAAAUAAAGUUUAACUAAAAAAUUUUGUGAUUUUUAAUUUUUUGUGCUCACCUGUUUAUAUGAAAAAUACAAAUUUUUCAGUGUUAAAAUAAUUAUUAUCAACGAAAUGAUUUGUGCGCUGCUAAAUAUGUAAUAAUGGAUGUGAUUUUCAUUAUAUCCUAUAUAUGGAAAUUAUUGUCACUACAGCCGAAGGAAUUGUGGAUUUUAACUAAUUUGCAAGUGUGUUAAAUUGUGUGUGAAUACCCUUUGCGGUGGUUGGCUGUAGUCGAAGUGCAGUAGAGCAGCAGCAGCAGCAGAAAAUUUACAACAACAACAGCAACAAAUAGUAUAAAAUAUAUGCUUAUUAUUAAUUAUAAAUAUCACUACACGAAUAAACAAGCGUAUGCAAGUGUAGUCCAAACAUACAUACAAACAUAUGUAGUAUGUCAGGCUGUGUGCGCGUGUGUUAGUGAUAAAUGAAUGGAGCAAUAAAUUUAAAAGUUCAAUUGAUUUCACAUUCAGCAACAACGGCGGUUGUCACCAUUUAGCCACGCUGUCAAGCUGUCAACAUUGCCAAGUGCCUGAAUGUUUUCAUACAUAUAUGUACAUAUGUAUGUUUGUUUGUACAUAUGUAUGUGUAUAGUGUUUGUGUAAUUGCGCGCGAAGUGUCAAAGUGCCACUGACAGGGGUCAUUGUUGGGUGACUCAGCAGUAAAUUAAGCAAAUUCACAAGAAAAA